Molecule: ribosomal RNA, 253 nt
Filed under: uncultured bacterium
Lineage: Bacteria
Description: partial 16S ribosomal RNA
Rfam family: Bacterial small subunit ribosomal RNA
Source: RNAcentral
UACGGAGGGGGCUAGCGUUGUUCGGAAUUACUGGGCGUAAAGCGCACGUAGGCGGACUGUUAAGUCGGGGGUGAAAUCCUGGGGCUCAACCUCAGAAUUGCCUCCGAUACUGGCAGUCUCGAGUGCGGGAGAAGUGAGUGGAAUUCCCAGUGUAGAGGUGAAAUUCGUAGAUAUUGGGAAGAACACCAGUGGCGAAGGCGGCUCACUGGCCCGUAACUGACGCUGAGGUGCGAAAGCGUGGGGAGCAAACAGG